AGUGAACGCUGGCGGUAGGCCUAACACAUGCAAGUCGAACGGCAGCACAGUAAGAGCUUGCUCUUACGGGUGGCGAGUGGCGGACGGGUGAGGAAUACAUCGGAAUCUACUUUUUCGUGGGGGAUAACGUAGGGAAACUUACGCUAAUACCGCAUACGACCUACGGGUGAAAGCAGGGGAUCUUCGGACCUUGCGCGAUUGAAUGAGCCGAUGUCGGAUUAGCUAGUUGGCGGGGUAAAGGCCCACCAGGGCGACGAUCCGUAGCUGGUCUGAGAGGAUGAUCAGCCACACUGGAGCUGAGACACGGUCCAGACUCCGACGGGAGGCAGCAGUGGAGAAUAUUGGACAAUGGGCGCAAGCCUGAUCCAGCCAUACCGCGUGGGUGAAGAAGGCCUUCGGGUUGUAAAGCCCUUUUGUUGGGAAAGAAAAGCAGCAGGUUAAUACCCCGCUGUUCUGACGGUACCCAAAGAAUAAGCACCGGCUAACUUCGU
RNAcentral lists this ribosomal RNA (491 nucleotides) under uncultured bacterium. RNAcentral describes it as "partial 16S ribosomal RNA". It matches the Rfam family "Bacterial small subunit ribosomal RNA", at positions 29 to 506 of the family's 1533-position model. The record is from RNAcentral.